GUGACAGGCCUCUGUGUCUCCACAGUGGCCAGAGGGGAGCCUGCCUGACUGAUGAGCAAGGCUCCACUUUGUCACCAAGGCAGAGAAGGGGCCCGGGUAAAUGACCCCGGUGGCCCCCACCCCUGCCUGGCAUGAGAGUGGGUAGGGGCUUCGGACUUGAGGGGACUGGAGCGGGAAUAAGGAGCUGCACCAGGAACUCACAGAGGAUCAGGGAGAAUUCUGAGAACAUGCUACUGUGGUGCUGCCUAGAGAGGAAGGAUAAAUGAUGACAAGUACAUCUCUGAGUAACGUAUGGCCACUUGUUCAUGAAAACUGUUUUUCUGAAAGCUUGUGAAGGUCUUGAAAUACUCGCUAUCAGUUGAGGACAAACAUUUACACCCUCCUUCCACAGGGAGUUCAAGCAGGCUGGAUGGGUCCAUCUAUGGAUGAUCUUCCCCAGCCCCUUCCUCUUCCCAGCUCAUUCCUGGCUCUCUGUGUGAACAGGUCUCAUCAGUGGAAUGUGGUUGAUGAAGUGAGGUCUUCAAUUUUCUCAUCUACUGUGUGGUCAUGUUAUUUUCCUCAUCUGAGGCUUAAAAACUCACCUGCAUGCAGCACAUGACAGCUUAAAAUCUCUUGUGAACAAAACAGUAACAAAGACACCCACCAGCGUUGAGCAUCCCGUGUUGAUGACAGCGACCACCAUGGGUCAACGUCCUCUUCACAAUCCUGUGUCAGAGCAUCACUUGACUGAUUUCAUUAGCAACUUCCCAGGAGAAUCAGCUUACAAAAUACUUGUCCCAUUUUCCAUGCAGAUGUAACCCAUCUAUUUUACUGAAGAAAUGGGAAGAGCUGAAUGCUGAAUACACUGAAUGUCUGCAGGUUGUGCAAGUUUGUGACUUUAUCACUUUCUAAUUUCUGAUCUGUGUGGACCACUCUACAGAUUUUUCUCACUGGUGUGAUCAGCCUUCUGGAUGUCAAAUAUAAUAGACUUUCAACAAUAUAAAAGUCAACACAAGCUCCUCAUGGUUUCAGUGCUCAGUGAUGACUCUAAACUUACACAAUGUGUUUCUUUAUUAGUUUUGUUUUCUGGUAUCUCUACUCGGCAUCUUCACCACACCCAUUUUAUGUUUCUUAUACAGGUAAUUGAUAAUUUUAAAAUUUAUUGGUGCUUACUUUAAUUAAAUAAGCAGACAGUAUCUUAGAAUUUAAAAAAAAUGUGCAGUAAAAGGAAAUGCAAUAAAUUUUAAUGUAAGGAAACCAGCAGCUGAAAGCAAGGGAAAUCUCUUCUGCUGCAUAGGAGGGUAUGGAGACCUCAUAAUACGAUGAUUUUCUGCAAUUUAAUCAUUAUUGCCACACAAGUGAUAGCAUCCUCUCUCUUUAUAUCAGCACAUUCCCUAACGUACAAUAAAGGCUGAGCACAGAUACCGCCAACCAGACUGACCAGCACCUCUCACCGAGUGCCUGAGCUGAUAGUGAUAGAUAUCACAUUUGUCUAACAAAAUCAUUACACCCUGUAAGGAUACCCACCAGUCAUAAGGAGACAAUUUAAAAAAUUUAGUCAAAGCCCAAACCUGAUAGGUAGUCAUUUAUACUUAGAAGAAUUAACUCUUAUCUUCACAUGUAUUUUUCUUAAUCAUAGAGAAGCUACUAGAGUCACUGUCCAAGUUACUGAAUAUCUUAUUCCUAGAAUGAGACACUGCACAAUGUGUUCUGACACGAGGGGAUGUAGAUAUAGUUAAGGGACAGGAGAUGUGAUCACGGGAACAAGAGUCUGUGAUCCAGCAGUUCUUUCUCUCUCACAGUUGACCAGAAACAAGGCCCCAGCAGAACAAAGGAAACAUUGACUUAGGUCUCCACAGUCUGAUGUGAGAUAAACAGCAGGUAGUUUAUGCUUCCGUUUUAUAGUAGGAAAUUUAAUAAAGAAGGGCCAUUUUGGGGAUAAUACUAUUCUCUAUGAUGCUUAAAUGCCCCCAAACAGAGAGCACUACAGUGUCCCAUGGCCAGGAGCUACAAUACCUGGGUCUAGAAAGCAGUGGACAGAAAUAUCGGUUUCUCUUGCCACAUGUAUGAUGAAAAUUUGAAGAAUGUUUCUUUCCUUCUCCAUAAUCAUAGGCUGCGAUGGACUGGAGGUCCUGGUACAUAAGAAUAAAUGUGUCUCCAGUAGGAACAGAAUUAGUCCCAUAAAAUAAUUGUGCUGCCGUGGUUCUCAUACUGUUGGAACAGCUGACCAAGAAAGUGUUGUAACAGCUGCAGUGUUUAUUGAUUCCUAUCAUAUUUGGGGCUACAUUCGCAGCUACCAAGGGAAAGAGAGAGAAGUAAUUCUGGCCUAGAUAGAGUCUAUAGAUUUUUUUUUUCUUUCCUUCAAACUGAGGUUUAAAAAAAUCACAUCAACUAAAAUGCAGAUGAUGAUCAAAUGAUCAAGGACAAUAGCCAUUAAAUGUUUCAGGUGUGUUUUAACCCAAAGUCACACAACAUGUGAGAACAUGAGCUCUGGAGUCGGGAGAAUCUCUGAGGA
Molecule: long non-coding RNA, 2494 nt
Filed under: Homo sapiens (human)
Lineage: Eukaryota; Metazoa; Chordata; Mammalia; Primates; Hominidae
Description: HSALNT0230073
Source: RNAcentral